Molecule: ribosomal RNA, 495 nt
Filed under: uncultured bacterium
Lineage: Bacteria
Description: partial 16S ribosomal RNA
Rfam family: Bacterial small subunit ribosomal RNA
Source: RNAcentral
GAUGAACGCUGGCGGCGUGCUUAACACAUGCAAGUCGAACGAAGCACCUUGAUUCGAUUCUUCGGAUGAAGAUCUUGGUGACUGAGUGGCGGACGGGUGAGUAACGCGUGGGUAACCUGCCUCAUACAGGGGGAUAACAGUUAGAAAUGACUGCUAAUACCGCAUAAGACCACAGCACCGCAUGGUGCAGGGGUAAAAACUCCGGUGGUAUGAGAUGGACCUGCGUCUGAUUAGGUAGUUGGUGGGGUAACGGCCUACCAAGCCGACGAUCAGUAGCCGACCUGAGAGGGUGACCGGCCACAUUGGGACUGAGACACGGCCCAAACUCCUACGGGAGGCAGCAGUGGGGAAUAUUGCACAAUGGGGGAAACCCUGAUGCAGCGACGCCGCGUGAGCGAUGAAGUAUUUCGGUAUGUAAAGCUCUAUCAGCAGGGAAGAAAAUGACGGUACCUGACUAAGAAGCACCGGCUAAAUACGUGCCAGCAGCCGCCGUAA